RNAcentral lists this ribosomal RNA (465 nucleotides) under uncultured bacterium. RNAcentral describes it as "partial 16S ribosomal RNA". It matches the Rfam family "Bacterial small subunit ribosomal RNA", at positions 28 to 507 of the family's 1533-position model. The record is from RNAcentral.
GACGAACGCUGGCGGCGUGCUUAACACAUGCAAGUCGUACGGUAAGGCCCUUUCGGGGGUACACGAGUGGCGAACGGGUGAGUAACACGUGAGUAACCUGCCCACAACUUUGGGAUAACGCUAGGAAACUGGUGCUAAUACUGGAUAUGUGCUCCUGCUGCAUGGUGGGGGUUGGAAAGCUCCGGCGGUUGUGGAUGGACUCGCGGCCUAUCAGCUUGUUGGUGGGGUAGUGGCCUACCAAGGCGGCGACGGGUAGCCGGCCUGAGAGGGUGACCGGCCACAUUGGGACUGAGAUACGGCCCAGACUCCUACGGGAGGCAGCAGUGGGGAAUAUUGCACAAUGGGCGCAAGCCUGAUGCAGCAACGCCGCGUGCGGGAUGACGGCCUUCGGGUUGUAAACCGCUUUCAGCAGGGACGAAGCUUUUUGUGACGGUACCUGCAGAAGAAGCACCGGCUAACUACGUA